AUAAAAUGCAGUUUAUACUAAGAAGGCUCUCAAAUAAAUUAUUUCUCCAAUCCCUAAACCCCGCCACUCUCUCCUCUCUAAAAAAAAAGUGGAAGAAAAACCUUCUUGUCUAGCACUGCUAUUCUACAUCAUUCAUGAGAAAAUGAUCAAGACACUGAAGUACAUAUCAAGGCAUUGAUUUUUUCACUUAACAAGUCAAGUGGCAAAAGAAUGGAAAGAUACUAGUUGACAAGUUUCUUAGUUAUUUUUGUUGUAUUAGGUGAAUAAUUUGUAUCUUUUUGUACAGAUGUUAGAUUCAAGGAAGG
Molecule: long non-coding RNA, 305 nt
Organism: Solanum stenotomum
Lineage: Eukaryota; Viridiplantae; Streptophyta; Magnoliopsida; Solanales; Solanaceae
Exons: 3
Source: RefSeq, a predicted model, not a curated record